GGAACGAGUUAUCUGAACCUUCGGGGGACGAUAACGGCGUCGAGCGGCGGACGGGUGAGUAAUGCCUAGGAAAUUGCCCUGAUGUGGGGGAUAACCAUUGGAAACGAUGGCUAAUACCGCAUAAUGCCUACGGGCCAAAGAGGGGGACCUUCGGGCCUCUCGCGUCAGGAUAUGCCUAGGUGGGAUUAGCUAGUUGGUGAGGUAAUGGCUCACCAAGGCGACGAUCCCUAGCUGGUCUGAGAGGAUGAUCAGCCACACUGGAACUGAGACACGGUCCAGACUCCUACGGGAGGCAGCAGUGGGGAAUAUUGCACAAUGGGCGCAAGCCUGAUGCAGCCAUGCCGCGUGUGUGAAGAAGGCCUUCGGGUUGUAAAGCACUUUCAGUCGUGAGGAAGGUGGUGUAGUUAAUAGCUGCAUUAUUUGACGUUAGCGACAGAAGAAGCACCGGCUAACUCCGUGCCAGCAGCCGCGGUAAUACGGAGGGUGCGAGCGUUAAUCGGAAUUACUGGGCGUAAAGCGCAUGCAGGUGGUUUGUUAAGUCAGAUGUGAAAGCCCGGGGCUCAACCUCGGAAUAGCAUUUGAAACUGGCAGACUAGAGUACUGUAGAGGGGGGUAGAAUUUCAGGUGUAGCGGUGAAAUGCGUAGAGAUCUGAAGGAAUACCGGUGGCGAAGGCGGCCCCCUGGACAGAUAC
This 692-nucleotide ribosomal RNA is filed under the name Vibrio sp. RNAcentral's name for it is "bacterial SSU rRNA". It matches the Rfam family "Bacterial small subunit ribosomal RNA", at positions 63 to 740 of the family's 1533-position model. Lineage: Bacteria; Pseudomonadati; Pseudomonadota; Gammaproteobacteria; Vibrionales; Vibrionaceae. The record is from RNAcentral.